UGGUUGCUGGGAACUGAACCUAGGCCCUCUGCAACAGCAACAAGUGCUCUUAACUGCUGAGCCAUCCUUCCAGCUCCACCUUUCCCAGAAAUCCUAAAAUCUGUUUUCAAAUUCUUGAAUCAAAUCAGAAAGCAAGGUUAUAUUUUUCAGCGUCCAUAGGAUUCUGUCUAGCCAACACACUGAAAUGUGUAAACAUCUUUGCCUUCAUUUGGGAUUGCCAAAUUUCAGUUUUAUUUGAAAUGCUUGCUGUGAUUUAUAUUUUAACAUUAUAUUGAUAUCAUAUAUUAAUAUUAUGUUGCUAAGUUGGUUUCUACCUUGAAGACAGAUGUUUGAGUCCCUCAAGUGAGCAGAGUCCACUAAAAAUGCAAACUAUGUAAGUCCGGUGUUAUCAUCUAGGUCUGGCACAAAUUUUGUUUUGAAGCCAUAAAUAAUGUGGUAACACCAUUGCAAACCAUUAAACCUUUUCAACAUUCGGCCUUGACUUAACUCUUGAAAAGUAAAUGAUGUCACCAUGAAUGAUGUCUGCAUCAACGCAUGAAAGGAAUUCCUACAAUGGACAAUGACCACGUACCUGCUUGGCCCUUGUGAAAUUUGGCCUUGGUGAAGAUUUGCACGACAUCAUCAUUUUUUAGUGCUUUGGGGCAUAAAUUUUCUUUCUUUUAAAAUUAUGAGGAUUUCAUACAUGUCAUCUCCAUCCCCAACCCCUACUUCCAGCUCUUCCAAGGACCCCUACAUUACUCUUCCAACUUUAUUCCUUCAUUUUUUGGUAACUCGAGACCAGUUACUGCUGACCACAUGUACGUGGGGGUAGGGCCAUCCACUGAAGCAUGGACAACCUACCAGGGACUACAACCCUGAAGAAAAUGUAUGGCCGCUCCCCUUACUUCAUUAAAUCUCACAUCGCUCUCCCUCGAGACUCCAAGGCUUUGGAAUAGUACAAACCUGAUUUGGGGCCAUCCUACUUCAGUGCUCAGUGACAUCUCCUCCCCCACACUUGUGUCUUCAAGUUCUAUGCUUCUUCCUAUAACCCUUUACGCUACGGCUUGGCUGUUUGAAUUUACAGGAUUCAAAGAUGAUGACUGAGCAGAAAUAUACACAGCUAAGAGUUUUUUUCUUUCCCCUAAGACAUACAAUGAACAUAAAACCGAGGCUACGUUUCCCUUCGAGACUGCUCUCAAAUGACAGUCUCCUCCAUCCUCUUAACCUUUCACAUUAUUUCUGAAGCCAUUUCAUCCUCCGUCGAAAAUGCCAACCUAAAAAUAAGCAAUCUCCCUGAAAAGGAUCCAGAUGGAAACAGAAAAGUAUGUACACACUCAUUCAGUCUGAAAAACAUUUUCUAUAUUUGCUGUCCGACUUACGUUGUUUCUCUUCAUUUCUGCCUCAUCACAGAGGGGUGCUGGAGACGCAGAGAAAUGUUCGGACCCACUGAAACAAAAUUCAUUUUCCAAGGCUUUUGAUUCCAGGUGGUAAUCAUUUAUUAGGGCCCUUUAGAAGUUCAAGAGUAUAUUGAAAAUGAAUGUGAUUUAUAUAUUUUAUUUAAUUGAGCUGAAAUUUCAGCUAAUUAUGUAUAUUCUUAAGAAGCAAACAUUUUGUUUCAAGCAGCUGGGAAGUGAAGGCUUUAUCAAGCUCACCUGGCAAAUUCCCUAAUUCUUUGGCUCUAAGAAUGAGGAAGACUUUCGAAGACAGGACUGCUGCUCCUUAGACACAGAUAACCAGACCAUGAGAACGGUAUGAAAGCACUAAAUUAUAAGCAGAGUGAGAAAUGCAAAUACCAGACUAACUGCGAUCUGUAAUAAGCUGAUAUUUUUAAAAUUCUCUUUUUAGAAGAGAGAACAACAUCCACAGAUAUACAUACACACACAUUGACAUCAGAAGGGACGUUGUGCUUGUUGUCAAGGAGUCUUUGAUGUCAGUUCACAUUCAUCUCGAACACCUACGUCUUUCUUAUCUAUAGCCCCAUCUAAGGGCAACUGGUCUCCAGAAUGAGAAAUGUGAGACACCACAAGAUGUUGAAUCACUAAGGAAAAAAAUAGCACUUAUAUUUUGUACCAAGGUAGGUCAACUUUCUGUGCUAUAUUAGGACAUUUAUCAGAAUAAAAAAUUGAUA
Molecule: long non-coding RNA, 2107 nt
Organism: Mesocricetus auratus (golden hamster)
Lineage: Eukaryota; Metazoa; Chordata; Mammalia; Rodentia; Cricetidae
Exons: 2
Source: RefSeq, a predicted model, not a curated record